GUCUUUUUGUUAAUAAUUUAAAGUUUAAUCUGCCCACUGAAAUUUUUAAAGGGCUGCAGUAUAUUGACUGUACAAAGGUAGCAUAAUCAUUAGUCUUUUAAUUGAAGACUUGUAUGAAUGAUUUGAUGAGAUAUAAACUGUCUUUUGUUUAAUAAUAGAAUUUAAUUUUUUAGUUAAAAAGCUAAAAUUUUUUUAAAAGACGAGAAGACCCUAUAGAGUUUAAUUUUUUAAUUUUUAUUAAUAUUUUAUAAAAUUUAUGAUUAGUAAAAAUUAAAAAAUUUUGUUGGGGUGAUAGAAAAAUUUAUUAAACUUUUUUUUAAAAAUUAACAUUAAUUUAUGAUUGGUUGAUCCAUAAUUUAUGAUUAAAAGAUUAAAUUACCUUAGGGAUAACAGCGUAAUUUUUUUUUUUAGUUCAUAUAAAAAUUAAAGUUUGCGACCUCGAUGUUGGAUUAAGAUAAAAUUUAAAUGCAAAAGUUUAAAAUUUUGAUCUGUUCGAUCAUUAAAAUCUU
RNAcentral lists this ribosomal RNA (509 nucleotides) under Delias agostina (yellow jezebel). Its description in RNAcentral is "partial 16S ribosomal RNA". The record is from RNAcentral. Lineage: Eukaryota; Metazoa; Arthropoda; Insecta; Lepidoptera; Pieridae.